RNAcentral lists this ribosomal RNA (448 nucleotides) under uncultured bacterium. RNAcentral's name for it is "SSU rRNA". It matches the Rfam family "Bacterial small subunit ribosomal RNA", at positions 26 to 518 of the family's 1533-position model. The record is from RNAcentral.
AGAGCGAACGCUGGCGGCAGGCCUAACACAUGCAAGUCGAGCGCCCGUAGCAAUACGGGAGCGGCAGACGGGAUAGUAACACGUGGGAACGCGCCCUUCGGUUCGGAAUAACUCAGGGAAACUUGAGCUAAUACCGAAUACGCCCUUACGGGGAAAGAUUUAUUGCCGAAGGAACGGCCCGCGUCCGAUUAGCUAGUUGGUGAGGUAAUGGCUCACCAAGGCUACGAUCGGUAGCUGGUCUGAGAGGAUGACCAGCAUCACUGGGACUGAGACACGGCCCAGACUCCUACGGGAGGCAGCAGUGGGGAAUAUUGGACAAUGGGCGCAAGCCUGAUCCAGCCAUGCCGCGUGGAUGAUGAAGGCCUUAGGGUUGUAAAGUCCUUUCGACGGGGAAGAUAAUGACGGUACCCGUAGAAGAAGCCCCGGCUAACUUCGUGCCAGCAGCCGC